RNAcentral lists this ribosomal RNA (465 nucleotides) under Vreelandella stevensii. RNAcentral describes it as "partial 16S ribosomal RNA". It matches the Rfam family "Bacterial small subunit ribosomal RNA", at positions 338 to 795 of the family's 1533-position model. The record is from RNAcentral. Lineage: Bacteria; Pseudomonadati; Pseudomonadota; Gammaproteobacteria; Oceanospirillales; Halomonadaceae.
CCUACGGGCGGCAGCAGUGGGGAAUAUUGGACAAUGGGGGCAACCCUGAUCCAGCCAUGCCGCGUGUGUGAAGAAGGCCCUCGGGUUGUAAAGCACUUUCAGUGAGGAAGAACGCCUGGUGGUUAAUACCCAUCAGGAAAGACAUCACUCACAGAAGAAGCACCGGCUAACUCCGUGCCAGCAGCCGCGGUAAUACGGAGGGUGCGAGCGUUAAUCGGAAUUACUGGGCGUAAAGCGCGCGUAGGUGGCUUGAUAAGCCGGUUGUGAAAGCCCCGGGCUCAACCUGGGAACGGCAUCCGGAACUGUCAAGCUAGAGUGCAGGAGAGGAAGGUAGAAUUCCCGGUGUAGCGGUGAAAUGCGUAGAGAUCGGGAGGAAUACCAGUGGCGAAGGCGGCCUUCUGGACUGACACUGACACUGAGGGGCGAAAGCGUGGGUAGCAAACAGGAUUAGAUACCCCUGUAGUC